UGGGGAAUAUUGCACAAUGGGCGCAAGCCUGAUGCAGCCAUGCCGCGUGUAUGAAGAAGGCCUUCGGGUUGUAAAGUACUUUCAGCGAGGAGGAAGGCGUUGUGGUUAAUAACCGCAACGAUUGACGUUACUCGCAGAAGAAGCACCGGCUAACUCCGUGCCAGCAGCCGCGGUAAUACGGAGGGUGCAAGCGUUAAUCGGAAUUACUAGGCGUAAAGCGCACGCAGGCGGUGUGUCAAGUCGGAUGUGAAAUCCCCGGGCUCAACCUGGGAACUGCAUCCGAAACUGGCAGGCUAGAGUCUUGUAGAGGGGGGUAGAAUUCCAGGUGUAGCGGUGAAAUGCGUAGAGAUCUGGAGGAAUACCGGUGGCGAAGGCGGCCCCCUGGACAAAGACUGACGCUCAGGUGCGAAAGCGUGGGGAGCAAACA
RNAcentral lists this ribosomal RNA (427 nucleotides) under uncultured bacterium. RNAcentral's name for it is "partial 16S ribosomal RNA". It matches the Rfam family "Bacterial small subunit ribosomal RNA", at positions 355 to 774 of the family's 1533-position model. The record is from RNAcentral.